AUAUAAAUAAGCGGAGGAAAAGAAACUAACAAGGAUUGACGUAGUAAGGGCGACUGAACUGUCAAAAGCUCACCGUGUGAAUCAGCGUACGCAAGUGCGCCGAAUUGUGGUUUGGAGGUGUUUGCACUUUUGCGCUGGGCAAAGUCCCUUGGAAGAGGGCAGCAUAGAGGGUGAUACUCCCGUUUGCCUAGCGCUUUGAGCGUGCACCGAUGAGUCGAGUUGUUUGGGAUUGCAGCUCAAAGCCGGUGGUAAAUUCCAUCGAAAGCUAAAUAUUGGCGGGAGACCGAUAGCGCACAAGUA
Molecule: ribosomal RNA, 300 nt
Filed under: uncultured eukaryote
Lineage: Eukaryota
Description: partial large subunit ribosomal RNA
Rfam family: Eukaryotic large subunit ribosomal RNA
Source: RNAcentral